Dipodomys ordii (Ord's kangaroo rat) is the source of this 330-nucleotide long non-coding RNA. RefSeq lists it as uncharacterized. The record is from RefSeq and is a predicted model, not a curated record. The transcript is spliced from 4 exons. NCBI's taxonomy places the organism in Eukaryota, Metazoa, Chordata, Mammalia, Rodentia, Heteromyidae.
UCACCUGUGCAUCCCAGAGAGCUGCCAAGUGUGGGAGAACUCAGAGAAAUACACAAGCUCAGGAGAAGGCACUGUGCUGGUUUUUGUCAUGUCCAUCUUUGUGACUGCCCUUGUAUACAAGGUGUGUUCCUCACAGUCCAGCUUUGACUGCUAAGAGAUUCAGAGCAGACGGGAAAAAUCAGUAAGCACACAAUGCUGAAUAGUGAUCAUCCUUCAAUCAGUGCUGUUUGUGACUGCAGAGAGAACACUUGCAUGGACAGCUGUUCUACACACCAAGGUGGCCAGGGGACCAAAGGGCCUGAACUCUGGACCUGGGUGCUGGCCCUCAAC